This is a non-coding RNA of Notechis scutatus (mainland tiger snake), 135 nucleotides long. Lineage: Eukaryota; Metazoa; Chordata; Lepidosauria; Squamata; Elapidae. The record is from RefSeq and is a predicted model, not a curated record.
CUGAUGGAGCUGCCAGAUGUCAUCUGCAAAUUUGAUGAGUCCGCCUUCUAUUCCCUCACCUAAGUCAUUUACGAAGAUAUUGAAGAGCCCUGGGCCUAAGAUGGAAUCUUGUGGUACCCCACUGCUUACUUCCCU